RNAcentral lists this unclassified non-coding RNA (2887 nucleotides) under Aplysia californica (California sea hare). Its description in RNAcentral is "pyridine nucleotide-disulfide oxidoreductase domain- containing protein 1, transcript variant X1". The record is from RNAcentral. Lineage: Eukaryota; Metazoa; Mollusca; Gastropoda; Aplysiida; Aplysiidae.
AAAAAAAACGAAAAAAAGGACAAUGAAGAAGGAAGCGAUAUAACUAAAACACGACUGCAACGGGACAUCACUCUGAUAAUAUUUACUUUUUACCCCAGCCAGCACUCCUGCACAGCAACUCCAGCAAAAAGAACCUUUUUGUGUGUACUGUGUACAAGUACAAGUCUAGUGCACUAACAUAUAUACAUAAUGUACAUAGUGAAGGCCUGCAAAAUUCUAUCUAAUCCAGAGUAGUACCCAGUAGGGCUGGAUCCAAGCAGAUCGGGUCAGAUACUUUGUCUUCAAAACCACUCAUACUCCAAGCCCAACCACCACUGCCACUGUGCAGUUGUUCGCUCAGACCCAGUGUAAGAAAGGCCACCUUUAUUUGAUUGAGGACUAAUAACUGUGUGACUUGACCAAACGGCUGUGUUGACAGACCAUGACGAGUGGCCAGUACAUUGUGAUUGGAGGUGGCAUCGCUGGAGUGUCUUGUGUUGAAGCGCUAUCUUACUUGGACAAGGAUGCCAAAAUUACUCUGAUUUCUGCCUCUCCACUCAUCAAAACUGUUACAAAUUAUGUACAGCUCACACAAGUUGCUGAGACAUUUGAUGUGGAGGAAAAGCCGUUAUCUCAUGCCGAAGAAAACAGGGACAAUGUGACAGUUAUGCAGGCUGUUGUGGAGUCGUUAAACACUCAGGAUAAAACUCUAGUCACGUCAGAUGGUCAAACGGUCAGCUAUGACAAACUGUGUGUUUGUACUGGAGGAAAACCUAAGGUGAUAGCAUCAGAUAGUCCUGUAGUGGUGGGCAUUCGUGACACAGAGAGUGUAAAGGAUUUCCAGGUUAAGAUGAAGACCGCAAGAAGAAUUGUGAUCAUUGGAAAUGGUGGAAUAGCUACGGAGCUCGUGUAUGAGCUAGAGGGUUGUGAGGUCAUCUGGGCCAUCAAAGACAAAUCCAUCGCUCACACUUUUGUGGAUGCCGGGGCUGGAGAAUUCUUUAUGGAGCAUCUGAACAAAGAGAAGGACAAAAGUCCGGACGGGCCAUCCAAACGACUCAAGUACACCACCCAGGAAAGCCAAAUCUCCAAUGCAGGAGUGAUGGGUGGGGCUUUAGGACCGGACUGGGCUACUAAUGUGGACAUGCAUGGGUCACAAAAUAUCUCACACCGAGUCCACGUGGAGCACCAGGUGGAGGUGAGGCAGAUUUUGUCGCAGGAUGACCUUGACCGGCUUCAGGCCAGUGGAGAGAAACAGUCACUGUCUCCAGAGGGCUGGACAGAUCACCCUUCUUGGCCGGCCUACGUAGAACUGACCAACGGGAAAAUCUACGGCUGUGACUUGGUGGUCAGUGCCACAGGUGUGGUCCCCUUCACCGAUACCGUGUUGCCGGGCAACCACUUUGAGCUGGCUUCAGACGGUGGUCUCCGGGUCAACGACAAGAUGGAGACGUCACAGCCACAUGUGUUUGCUGCCGGGGAUGUUUGCACUGCAUGCUGGGAGCAUUCCCCUCAUUGGCUACAGAUGCGACUGUGGACCCAAGCACGUCAGAUGGGUUGUUAUGCGGCAAAGUGCAUGGUGGCAUCUCACUCAGGAGAGGAUGUUGUCAUGGAUUUCUGCUUCGAACUUUUCGCUCAUGUCACGACGUUUUUCCGAUUUAAGGUUGUUUUGUUAGGCAAGUUCAACGCUCAGGGACUUGGUGAUGACUUUGAAAUUUUGCUUCGAGUGUCCAAAGGUGAGGAAUAUGUCAAAGCCAUUCUUCAAAAUGGACGAUUGAUGGGAGCUAUCUUGAUAGGAGAAACAGACCUGGAGGAGACAUUUGAGAACUUGAUUCUGAAUGCGAUUGACUUGACGCCUUUCAAAGACAACUUAUUAGAGCCUGGUAUUGAUAUCGAGGACUUUUUUGACUGAGUUCUGAGAGAGAACUCUAUUGAUUCGCCUGUGAUAUUGUGUGCCUUCAGGUUCAUUUCUUCUCUGCUUUGUCACCAUUGUUUAGAAUUUCCCUUUGACUUUUUCCCCACUGUGAGCUGUAUUUUGGGGCAUGACUUGAUGACUUUCAAAAAUCUCGUCCUCUGCAGACUUUUAUAACAGACACAAACCACUGUUUUAUCUUCAGAGAACUAUUUUAUUUCUUUGAAAUGUCUGAUAAAAGCCCUCAUACCAACUGAUCCUCAGGAUGAACAAAUUAUAGGCCUACCCAUGCAAGACCGCGAACAGAUACAGAAUACUCCGGUGGUUCACUGCGAGCCCCCACCUGUGCCUCUACAACAACAGCCGUUAACUCCUCGAGUUGUGUUUACCUCAUGUCAGAUCCCGACGCGGAAGUCUCGCCAGCCUCUUUCUGUGGGUCCCCUCGGGUUGCCAAGUUGUCUGUUUGACGUUAGGUGCCAAAGUACACAUAAUACUACACAGAGUUUUAUGACAGAGACAAACCACUGUUUUAUCUUUAGAGAACUAUUUUAUUUCUUUGAAAUGUCUGAUAAAAAAAUGAUAAUAAUUUCCCUGUAUUUUGAUGUGUAACACUUGAGUUUCUUUGUAAAAUGUUGAAGUGGAUGAUUGGUGGGUGCUCUUGUGUGGUUUACUGCUUCUCUCCUUUCAAACGUCUAUUGUUGAUAUCUCUCCUUUUUCUUUGCUUUGAAUGUUACUCUGUAGUAACUCCUCUUAUCUUCAGCACUUUUAUCAUCUAUGUGUUGCAAGUGCGGUAAAACUCUCUCUAAAACUAAACAGGAAAAUUACGAGAAAUUAUCUUUUUUCUGGUUGCCAUCAGAAUAGAUAAAAUGGUCGCCAAAGGGGCUUGGUUACAAAGAGGAAAAUGGUUUGGUUGGGAAACAGUUAAUGUGGGACAAAUGACAGAACAAUUGUGUUCAUGCUACUGUUAUCACAAUUACCAUUAAAUAAGCAAUUUAUGAA